Molecule: long non-coding RNA, 2529 nt
Filed under: Nicotiana benthamiana
Lineage: Eukaryota; Viridiplantae; Streptophyta; Magnoliopsida; Solanales; Solanaceae
Description: long non-coding RNA (NBEN_LNC042650)
Source: RNAcentral
CGCAAAUAAAGAUUUAGAAGUUGAAACUCUAUUAACUAUAUAACUAAUUGAUAUAAAUCUUAACAAUCAUAAUGAGUACAAUUGCAUCAAUCUACGACUAAGCGUAAAUAGCAAGUACAUAUAAAGAUUAGGGGGAGGGGGGAAGGAUCCUAAGUUUUUUAGCCUAAAAGAUCACCCCGUGCAAUAUAACUAAUACUUCGCAACUCCCUUGGAAUAGAGGUUGCUCAUAUUAUUCAGCAGAUACAUACUAUCAUCUCCUGUUACCUCGAUUACUAUGUUAGAGUUGUUUACCUAAAGAAUUACAACACGUCAAAUAGCAAGCAAAGCAAAUAAGCCCUAUGAACAUGUUUUCCACCUAUUUAGGAAAAAAUUAUAGUAUACCCGCUUCCCUCAUUUUACUAACUCCUUAUCCGUUUAUUUAUAAAUUAUUACAGACCCAGAUAAUGAAUACAAAUAUAAAUAAUACAUAAGAAACAAUGACAGGCCCACAUCAGGCCAAAAUGAAAAUAACCCAAUAUUGUUUGGGCCUUCAACAUGUUCACUUUCACGCGAAUAGCAGGUCCAGAUCCAAACACAUCUCAAAAAGGAUAGUGCGUCCAUUUGCACAUCCCAAGGCCACAUAUGUACUCAAACCAAGCCCAACAAUUAUAGAUUAACCAUUUAACCCAAUAAAUUAAUGAGCCACACGUGAAAAUCAAUUAAUCAUCCAUGAAUCCAUACCUCAUAGGGACAUGAUUGUAUAACAUUUAGCAAGAUUCACAUAAACACAUUGGCAUUCAGAAAGCAAGAAUGACAAGAUUGAUUAAAUAAAACAUGAACUAGGAGAACCAAUAGGGCUUAAUCUUCAACAUAGGGAGUUUUACAUAGAAUACAACAUAAGUUCAUGCGUGAGAAAUUAUUCAAAGAAGGAAUGGGAGUAGCAUGCUGAACACAAUCAAACACUAGGAAAACUUUAUAGGCAUAUCCACUUAGAGUGAACACAUAUAAUGCCAAGUUUCAGAAAUCAAGCACAAGGCAUGAUCUAGAAUUAGUCAAAGGAACUUUAGAUAAGAGACUUAACAUGACAACAUGGCAGCGUCGUAAACAAGAACAAGUGGGAUACAAUAGAAUGCCUAACAUGGGAGCCUAGUGAGAGUAGCAUACCAGAAUAGGUUCAUGAGCAAAUACUUAGUUGGACGUGACAUAACUUUAACAUGCUAAAUAUCAGUGAAUACUAGAAGCAUUUAUGGUAAACAAGCAACACGUCAGUUUCAGAUCAACAGGACAUGCAAGCAUCAAACUUUGUACUAGUUGGCCACACAUAAGAGAAAAGGCUAGGCAUGAGGUUUACCAUAAGGUCUCAAACAAUACUGAAGAAUUCACAAUUGCACAAGUCAAAUGCAUAAACUAGAACCCAAAUAACAUGGAAGCAUGCCCUAGCUAACAGCACAACCCCAGAAAUGUAGCAGGUUGGGCGAUAUCGACUUAACACGAAUUGGGGGCACAUGAGUCGAUUGCCAUAAUCCAGAACAAAGUAAGGAGAAGACUCAGGGCAAGCAUCAUGUAUCAAGAUAUACAUGGCAGGCUAAACAGGUUAAAAAAGAAGUUGUUUAUGCUAAUCAUAUAUGAUAAGAAUACACCAUAAUUAGAACCUAGGCAAGUUCAGAUUCUAAAAGUAUAGAAUCACAAGAAUACUUAAAAGCAAAUAAGCUACAAACAAGAUGGGAUAGUAGGACAUUGAUUCACGAAAGUUUCAAUGUCCAAAAGCGUAGAAAUGAACAAAAGAUGAAGAAGUUUCGAAGGCAAAAGACUUACCAGUUGCAAAUUAUCAAACAAGAAAAAUAAGAAGAACAAUAUCACCGGUAUCCCAAUCAUCAAUAGAGAAAAGAGUAGCAGAAACCCAAAACCUCAGUGCAUCAGAGUUUCGAAGGGUUUCAAUUGAGCCCAGUGCAGUGCUCGCAGCCGGCCAAGGUCUCAAGUUUAGGAUAGUGAGAGUGAGAUAGUAAUAGUAUUGGUUUCGUAAAAAUGUUCCGACUACUCAGGGAAAUGAUGAAGGGGGUUUAUAUAGUGAUAAAUUAGGACGAAAAAACAAGGAAACAAUAUCAGGAAAGAAAAUAUCACAUGCAAUCUACAAUAGAACUGGUAAAAGAAGAAUUGGAGUCCAAACCUUAGUUGGAAUCAAACUCAGGGCAAAUCGUUCACAAGCCCCAAUCACGUUCGAAUCAAUGGAGAUAUACCAUAUAUAUAAGAGAUAUUUUCUCCAGUGUAUAGAACCACAAUCAUACCAGAACCAUAUAAUCAAAGUCGAAUUUGUGUGAAUCGAGCUUGCCAUAGGUGAAAUGGUAGCGAAAGUUACCAUAAAUAAGUGAUAGUAGCAAGAAAGGUAAGUAAAACCCUAAUAUGGACGCGUAUAAGGAAAGAAUAAGAAAUCUCCGUGGUUAGCUAGAGUUUUGUGUGAGAGUGGAGUUGAGAGAAUGUAGGAGUGGAUGGGUGAGGGAGAUGAUCUCUCGGGUUUGUUGUGAGAGUAUACAGAGAGUGAGGGUUCUUAAU